GUAGGUGAACCUGCGGAAGGAUCAUUAGUGAAUUCAAUUUUCAGAGGCAGCAAUGUCGCUGUGCGAUCGGGCCCCCCGCGGCCCGGUAGCGGAAUACACAUCCAUAACACCUGUGAACUGUUUGUCAGGCCCAUCGGCUUCGGCCCCUGGACUGGACUAAUAUACAAACUUACUCUGUAAAAAAUGUCGAAAUACAAAAACAAAAUAAAACUUUUAACAACGGAUCUCUUGGCUCUC
This 237-nucleotide unclassified non-coding RNA is filed under the name rhizosphere metagenome. RNAcentral's name for it is "partial ribosomal RNA internal transcribed spacer region". The record is from RNAcentral.